RNAcentral lists this transfer RNA (66 nucleotides) under Cuspidaria undata. RNAcentral's name for it is "tRNA-Tyr". It matches the Rfam family "tRNA". From Rfam's summary of the family: Transfer RNA (tRNA) molecules are approximately 80 nucleotides in length. Their secondary structure includes four short double-helical elements and three loops (D, anti-codon, and T loops). Further hydrogen bonds mediate the characteristic L-shaped molecular structure. tRNAs have two regions of fundamental functional importance: the anti-codon, which is responsible for specific mRNA codon recognition, and the 3' end, to which the tRNAs corresponding amino acid is attached (by aminoacyl-tRNA synthetases). tRNAs cope with the degeneracy of the genetic code in two manners: having more than one tRNA (with a specific anti-codon) for a particular amino acid; and 'wobble' base-pairing, i.e. permitting non-standard base-pairing at the 3rd anti-codon position. The record is from RNAcentral. Lineage: Eukaryota; Metazoa; Mollusca; Bivalvia; Cuspidariidae.
GGACGAAUGGCUGAACCGAAGGCGACAGACUGUAGAUUUGUUUAUGGAUUUUAAAUUCUUUGUUCA